Molecule: ribosomal RNA, 1930 nt
Filed under: Klebsiella pneumoniae subsp. pneumoniae
Lineage: Bacteria; Pseudomonadati; Pseudomonadota; Gammaproteobacteria; Enterobacterales; Enterobacteriaceae
Description: partial 23S ribosomal RNA
Rfam family: Bacterial large subunit ribosomal RNA
Source: RNAcentral
UGUUUCGGCUAGGGGGUCAUCCCGACUUACCAACCCGAUGCAAACUACGAAUACCGAAGAAUGUUAUCACGGGAGACACACGGCGGGUGCUAACGUCCGUCGUGAAGAGGGAAACAACCCAGACCGCCAGCUAAGGUCCCAAAGUCAUGGUUAAGUGGGAAACGAUGUGGGAAGGCACAGACAGCCAGGAUGUUGGCUUAGAAGCAGCCAUCAUUUAAAGAAAGCGUAAUAGCUCACUGGUCGAGUCGGCCUGCGCGGAAGAUGUAACGGGGCUAAACCAUGCACCGAAGCUGCGGCAGCGACACUAUGUGUUGUUGGGUAGGGGAGCGUUCUGUAAGCCUGCGAAGGUGUGCUGUGAGGCAUGCUGGAGGUAUCAGAAGUGCGAAUGCUGACAUAAGUAACGAUAAAGCGGGUGAAAAGCCCGCUCGCCGGAAGACCAAGGGUUCCUGUCCAACGUUAAUCGGGGCAGGGUGAGUCGACCCCUAAGGCGAGGCCGAAAGGCGUAGUCGAUGGGAAACAGGUUAAUAUUCCUGUACUUGGUGUUACUGCGAAGGGGGGACGGAGAAGGCUAUGUUAGCCGGGCGACGGUUGUCCCGGUUUAAGCAUGUAGGCUGGUUGUCCAGGCAAAUCCGGAUAAUCAAGGCUGAGGUGUGAUGACGAGGCACUACGGUGCUGAAGUAACAAAUGCCCUGCUUCCAGGAAAAGCCUCUAAGCAUCAGGUAACAUCAAAUCGUACCCCAAACCGACACAGGUGGUCAGGUAGAGAAUACCAAGGCGCUUGAGAGAACUCGGGUGAAGGAACUAGGCAAAAUGGUGCCGUAACUUCGGGAGAAGGCACGCUGGUGUGUAGGUGAAGCCCCUGCGGGUGGAGCUGAGACCAGUCGAAGAUACCAGCUGGCUGCAACUGUUUAUUAAAAACACAGCACUGUGCAAACACGAAAGUGGACGUAUACGGUGUGACGCCUGCCCGGUGCCGGAAGGUUAAUUGAUGGGGUUAUCCGUAAGGAGAAGCUCUUGAUCGAAGCCCCGGUAAACGGCGGCCGUAACUAUAACGGUCCUAAGGUAGCGAAAUUCCUUGUCGGGUAAGUUCCGACCUGCACGAAUGGCGUAAUGAUGGCCAGGCUGUCUCCACCCGAGACUCAGUGAAAUUGAACUCGCUGUGAAGAUGCAGUGUACCCGCGGCAAGACGGAAAGACCCCGUGAACCUUUACUAUAGCUUGACACUGAACAUUGAGCCUUGAUGUGUAGGAUAGGUGGGAGGCUUUGAAGCGUGGACGCCAGUCUGCGUGGAGCCAACCUUGAAAUACCACCCUUUAAUGUUUGAUGUUCUAACGUUGGCCCCUGACCGGGGUUGCGGACAGUGUCUGGUGGGUAGUUUGACUGGGGCGGUCUCCUCCCAAAGCGUAACGGAGGAGCACGAAGGUUAGCUAAUCCUGGUCGGACAUCAGGAGGUUAGUGCAAUGGCAUAAGCUAGCUUGACUGCGAGCGUGACGGCGCGAGCAGGUGCGAAAGCAGGUCAUAGUGAUCCGGUGGUUCUGAAUGGAAGGGCCAUCGCUCAACGGAUAAAAGGUACUCCGGGGAUAACAGGCUGAUACCGCCCAAGAGUUCAUAUCGACGGCGGUGUUUGGCACCUCGAUGUCGGCUCAUCACAUCCUGGGGCUGAAGUAGGUCCCAAGGGUAUGGCUGUUCGCCAUUUAAAGUGGUACGCGAGCUGGGUUUAGAACGUCGUGAGACAGUUCGGUCCCUAUCUGCCGUGGGCGCUGGAGAAUUGAGGGGGGCUGCUCCUAGUACGAGAGGACCGGAGUGGACGCAUCACUGGUGUUCGGGUUGUCAUGCCAAUGGCACUGCCCGGUAGCUAAAUGCGGAAGAGAUAAGUGCUGAAAGCAUCUAAGCACGAAACUUGCCCCGAGAUGAGUUCUCCCUGAGACUU